RNAcentral lists this ribosomal RNA (350 nucleotides) under Hyalopterus pruni. RNAcentral describes it as "partial 12S ribosomal RNA". Lineage: Eukaryota; Metazoa; Arthropoda; Insecta; Hemiptera; Aphididae. The record is from RNAcentral.
CCCUAUUAUAAAAAUUUAAAUUAAUUUACUAAAAAAUUAAUAGUUAUGUUCUUUAAAUUUAAAAAAUUUGGCGGUAUUUUAGUCUUAUUAGAGGAAUCUGUUUAUUAAUUGAUAAUCCACGAUUAAUUUUACUUAUUUUAUUUAAUUCAUAUAUCGCUGUCAUGAAUAUAUUUAAAAAUUUAUUUUCUUUAAUUAUUUUAAUAAUUUAUGUUAAGUCAAGAUGUGGUUUAUAAAUAAGAAUAUAAUGGGUUACACUAAAUUUUAUUUUUGGAUUUAAAAUGAAAAUUAAAAUGAAAUUGGAUUUAAUAGUAAGUUUAAUUAAUUUAUUAGUAUGAAUAAAGAUCUAAAUU